RNAcentral lists this ribosomal RNA (307 nucleotides) under uncultured Gammaproteobacteria bacterium. RNAcentral's name for it is "bacterial SSU rRNA". It matches the Rfam family "Bacterial small subunit ribosomal RNA", at positions 472 to 779 of the family's 1533-position model. Lineage: Bacteria; Pseudomonadati; Pseudomonadota; Gammaproteobacteria. The record is from RNAcentral.
ACGGUACCUCCACAAGAAGCCCCGGCCAACUACGUUCCAGCAGCCGCGGUAAUACGUAGGGGGCGAGCGUUGUCCGGAUUUAUUGGGCGUAAAGAGCUCGUAGGCGGUUCAACAAGUCGGUCGUGAAAGUUCAGGGCUCAACCCUGAAAUGCGAUCGAUACUGUUGGACUAGGAUACGGUAGAGGUGAGUGGAAUUCCGAGUGUAGCGGUGAAAUGCGUAGAUAUUCGGAGGAACACCAAUUGCGAAGGCAGCUCACUGGACCGCUAUCGACGCUGAGGAGCGAAAGCUAGGGGAGCAAACAGGAUU